RNAcentral lists this unclassified non-coding RNA (218 nucleotides) under Hevea brasiliensis (rubber tree). The record is from RNAcentral. Lineage: Eukaryota; Viridiplantae; Streptophyta; Magnoliopsida; Malpighiales; Euphorbiaceae.
UGUUUCUUUCUUUGCUCUUUCUUUGGGGGUGUUCCGAUAGAUCAAAUGCUACUGACCUUCAGCAGAGAAGGGAAAAAGAGGGACUUUUAAGCAACAACCACCAAAAUUUGAGCAGAAGAGCUGAAUCAAGCCCAUGUUUCUUGUAUCUAGCCUUGUUGUGAGUUAAGAGAGCUUGAUCUUUGACAGGUUGUUUGAAGCAAUCUCUUGGGAUGAAGUUG